This is a non-coding RNA of Xylariomycetidae sp. FL0641, 100 nucleotides long. NCBI's taxonomy places the organism in Eukaryota, Fungi, Ascomycota, Sordariomycetes. The record is from the annotation of a GenBank genome assembly.
GGCCGCUUGGCCCAAUGGUAAGGCGUCUGACUACGACGAGUUGCGAAUACGCAAUUCUAAGCUUAUCAGGAGAUUCUGGGUUCGAGCCCCAGGGUGGUCA